This 42472-nucleotide long non-coding RNA is filed under the name Triticum aestivum (bread wheat). Its description in RNAcentral is "long non-coding RNA (TAES_LNC025185)". The record is from RNAcentral. Lineage: Eukaryota; Viridiplantae; Streptophyta; Magnoliopsida; Poales; Poaceae.
UUAGAUGAGAAGAAAAAAAGUAUUUGGCCCCUCAAGUCCACAUGUGUUUACCAUUUGCCCCCUGAACUUCUUCCCUAGCUCGCAUGAGUGGACAUAUAGGAAAAGAAUACAAAUCUGCCGAAUGGCUCGUAUGAUCGUGACCAUUCACAAAACGCUUAGAUUUGAUUUUUGAAAUAUAGUAGUAUCAUGUGAUAUCUUCCUCUGAAGGCACGAGAGGGGCGCGCACAAACAGUGACACCACCACGUACAACAUCCCGUUGGCGUCAAGCGUGGCAUACAUCGAGCGGCAUGUUGACAGACAUGGUUUCAGUUGACAGCGUGCUAAUUAAGCAGCUUGCUUUUUAUUAUUCGCAAUGGCAUGGUCGGGGAUUAUUCCUCAGUCACGGCGGCGAUGAUCCCCCGGUACACGGCAGGCUCAACGAACCGCCGCCGCCGCCGGAGUAAGAUUUAUCAGCACCUUCGCCGGCGCCCUUAGCUCCCUGGCUCGCGCCGGACCCCGCUUUUUCAGCACCGCCGCCCGCGCCCGACUCUGCUCCUUUGCCGGCUCCUUGGGCCGCCGACCCGAACUGGUCACCGACGCAGCUACCGCUAACGACCUCGCCGACGCCCUCAGCCGCCGACUUCACGGCUGCUCCCGCGCCCCGAGCAGCGGUGUCCACGCCCGUCCCGACUCCUUCGGCCGCUUUGCGGACCUCGCCACCGACGCCCUGGCCGUCGGCAGUCAUCACGACCACCAUGCUGACCAUCACCAGCAGCAGUGCCGCCAGGACAACCCCCUUCUUCCCCAUGCUCCCUCCUUCUUGCUCCACCUAAAAUGAUCUAUGUAUCGACCGAUGAAGCAUACAUAACAUCCAAGGGAGGCUAUUUAUACUUGCCAAGCUACCUUGGUGCGGUCUUACUUUUCAUUUCCAGGUAGCACAUUGGCUACAAUAAUGGAUAUGGACCAUCGUGUCUUGAUAGCAUGAAAAGACAAGGAACACCUAAUUCCAUCACUAAUCUAGUGCUCCUUCCAACACAAACUUGUUCUCAUCUACUUAUAUCCCUCCUGUAGCUGCAGCUACAUGUAUACUGUCCAUCAGAAAGCUCAAAUAUGACUGAGAUUCAUGCAACUAACAAAAAGAUGCCAAUAUCUGAAUAUUAACAUAGAAAACUAAUCCCAUCACUGAGUAACUAGUGCUCCGUCCAACCAAAUGUUUUUCUCGUCUAUAUCCCUCUUGUAGCUGCUGCUGCUGCUACAUGUAUAACCUCCAUUCAUAUUGUAACUAACACCCGUUCACUAGUGCUACCUUCCUUUUUCUUUUUUUGGAUGCACUAACACCUUCCCAGUGUCCAUCAAAGUCGAACACUUCUGUAUUUUUCACAUUUCCAUGCACAAUUAAUUAAUUAAUUCGGCACUCCGACACAAGAUGCUCCGAAGGGAGGCUUCUUGCACGAAUGUACUAUGAUCAACGGUUUUGCUAUUUCUUAGACAACCGAGAGAUAACAGUUUCUAGAUUGACCACAACAACCAACCGAACUAAUUGAUAUCCGUAAGAGAUAGAAAGAACUCUUCAUCAAACGACCAUGAAUGUAAGUAUUUCUGAAUUAACACACACAACAGAACCACAGCAAUAAUCAGGUGCACAAAACAUACUGAGCAGAUUGAUUUUAUUCAUGGUGCAAAGCAUCAGCAACAGAAUGGUGGUAGAGCAACACCACCAGCCAACAGGACUACUUUUCUUAUCAGCCACAUUCUUGCUUGCCCAUGCUUACUACAGUAGCAGUCCCCUGCUACAUGACUCGCUAGACUCAAACAAAAUACUGUUUUCAUCUGCAUCUUCCAGAUGCAGCUACAUGUAAUAUCCAGUGAUAUCGAGAUCAGAAACCUCGUAUACAUCAUCCUUGCUUCACCAAAAUUAACCAUGCGAGUAAAUGACAGUGUACAAUGACAGUGUACUUAACGCAUAUCUUGCCAUCAUAUCACCACCCCUCGUAUCUCCGCCAUACAUAUUUUGCUUUCUACAAAAAUUUGUCUGGCAAAGCAAAUUCCCCUUACUUUGCCGGCUGCCAUGUUUUUCUACUAACUUACCUGCCCUGCAUAUCUAGCUAGAUGGAUAGAUAGAUAAAUGUUACAAGUAAUAAAAAAGGUUACUGGGAUGUCGUGCUGUCUUUUGGCACAAACCACAGCAAGGCAGUGCCAUAUGUAGUAUAUCAUCUUCGUUCGCCUGUCCCUCAGCUGGCGAAACCCCGCAGGAAACCGAACCGGCUCGAACUCGAAACAGGUCUCUUGAGUGUUGCUGCUGUGCUUGAAGUGUCCUUUGGCGCCUCGGGGGUCGGCACUCCUUCCUUCAUCGAAGUUGCCCGGUUGAUCACAGCCUAGAGAGUAAACAGCAAGAGCUUCAGUUGCAUUCGGUUUGGAUUUAACCAAGGUACUCUAUGUUGUAUACUAAAAACAGCUGGUAGAAUCGUACAAACAUAUUCUAUCUACAAAUAGAUAGUCCAACCUACCAUGUUAAAAAGAUGGCGGUGCCGGGGUCAAAGUUCCACAACAUAUAAUACAUCCACAAAGUACAUUUUUCUUAAGGUUAUUCUUUUCUACAGCCCGUACAAGCUGUCACUCAAGGAGUGAUAUGUUUUUUAUUAAAAAAAUCACCACAUUCUGAUUAACAUGGAAGAGCAAACUAGAGUUAGCAGACCAAAAUUAGGUUCAGAAUGUAAUGCUAUAGAUAUCCAAUAUUCACGGCUAGUACUUUCAGGCAGCAUGUCACAUCACUGUGUACAACAAUCAUUAGGCAGAUCGCACCAUCUUCUUCAAGUGGAAAGUGUCAACAGACCAUAAGAAGCCCUAAUGAACAAAAUGCAAAGAAAUGCUCUUACCCUUUUAGGUAUUGCUGUAGUUCCAGCUAGCAUACUCAGUCCUGAUGCUGAUAUGGCUGUAGACGAACGCAGAACCUAUACAACAUUAAAAUAUUAGAUGCAAUAGACCAGGCCAAAAUGUGUUGUAAAAAGAUAUGUAAUUGAAACUGACCUUAGGUGGAUCUGCUCUAGGUGAUUGAGCUACAGGAGACACGGGUUCUGAACCUGACGGCAACGAAGCAGUCUGUAGUAAGAAAGAGAAAAGGGUCAGCCUGUGAAGAUCAAAACUAUACUGAAACUGGAAAAAGGGUGAAUGAAGUUACCCUAGUAAUUCCUUCUGAAGACUCGAUUGCAGGGAGAGGAGUUGAUGCUGUGACCUGAAAAAUGAUUUUGCUUACAAGAUUAGUAUUCACAAAGAACACGACAUUCGAACCAACAGGCCUCAUGCCAUAGACGCAUCAUGAAAAUUGGCACAAUAAAAUAAGUACACUAUAGGGAAUAAGGUAUGAGAUAUAUUCUCGGGACUUACCUUAAGAGUAUCGGCUUUCGGACUCCGAUCCAAUCUUUUAGUGAACUCACAUAACUCAUGUAUUCCUCGUGUUGUGUGAUCCUGAGAUAUUUCAGUCAAAAGGUUAGCGGCACAUAACCUCUACAGAAAAACAAACUGUGGGCUAGGAAUUUCUACUUACUUGAGUAUAUGCAAGGCGUCCAAGCUUUGUCUCCUGCAAAAGGGCAAGAGAUUUAGUUUGCACUUACUACUAGAAGUCCUACUCUAAGGGGAAGAGAUUAUAUUAAAGUAUUGAACACAGAGAUACAAGCAUGUACAGUGCACGCCUGAAAGGUACUACUCCACUACUUACCAGAGUGCGGACAACAUGGUGAACUGAUUGUAUUUCCUCCUGAAAGGCACUUAGAUCUCCAUGUAUUACUGUAACCUGUGAAAUACGUAUUAUUUUUGCAUCAGCAUCUUUUAAAAUACACUAAAGCUUGGAAACAACAAAUAUGCGGGCAAGUUUCUCAAACCUCUUUCCCUGUGGCUUCAAUAAUUUCGUGGCAUUCAUCUAGACUACAAUCGACUCGGUCGAUCCUUCCAGCCAAAUGCUUUUUUGAAGCCUGAUAUCAGCAGAAUGAAAAUAAAUAUAGUUUUCGUUAAAACAAAUGAGAGUCAGCGCGAAUAAAGCUAACAUAUAACACAAUGUUAGAAAUAUGUGAGACCUAUCCAAACAUCAUUUCUGUUUGUGUGCCUUUUCCUCUUCUAAAUGCAUACAAGCACAAAGUAGAAUUAUGCAAAUUUUGUAGGUGCAGACACGUAAACCGGAAAUGUACGUCUACAUCAUGUGGCAUAAGAAAAACAGAUAAACAACAAUGCAAGAAAAAUGUUUUGCCAUUUAAUAAAAAUAUUGGAUGUACAAUGUGUUUAGCUGUUUUAACUGAGCAAUUUCUGACAUGCUAUAUUUCAAAGUUUAAUGUACUAGUUCUAAUAGAAAUUGGCAUAGUUUAAGACAUAAGCUUCAUCAAUAUGUCACCGACUGGGAUGAUUAAUUACUUAGAUGAAUCUUAUAAUGCAACUUUACUAUAAUACAUUUUGUAGUGACAGCACUAUGGCAUCCUUGCACCUGUCAUCUGGAAAUGUCACGCGGUUUAAUAACAAUAUUCCAGUGAAUCUAGGACGAAGAAACUUACAUGAACACUUUCCGAAACCUGAUCCAAUUGUUUGCCAACUACGUUGCAGGCAUCAGCCAAGCCACGCUUGGUGACAAACAUCAUAUCAGAAAUUUUCCAUCCCUGUAAAUUAGCGGGUUAGCUUCAAGAGAAGUGCCAAUGGUGAACUUCAAACAUCAGAGUGGGAACAGGAUGAGCUCAGGUUGCAAUCUCGGACCACUACACUAAGAAUCUAAAAUGACAAGAAAGAAAAGUAGCCACCUGUAGGACAGUGUAACAUAACGUUAUUUUCUAAUUUGUUAACACAUAUUAUCCUUGCACCAAGUUGACAGGGAGAUAGAUGUUUACCUUCCAUCUUAUGUAUAAAUAGCCAAUGGCUCCAACAGCAAUAAAAGUUAAACCAUAAGCACCAGCGCCUGCAAGAGAAUGAUUUUACUUCAGCCGAUAUAAAGAAAAACAUAUGAUACCAAUUCAAUUCGGUUCCUAGCAAGUUAAAUUGAAGUGACAAACAGCACAUAAUGAGCAUAUUCUCUGAUAACUUGGUUCACAUAGGUUGAUGCAACAGGGCACAUCGCAUAAAAGGCGAAGAAGACAUGGUUACUUGAGCUACGGACACACAUGAUUUGGGUAUGGAAGAGAGGAAGCAGGCAGCAAACCUGGUCCACCAUUGACGUUGAUAAUCUGCGGGCAUUGAGCCUCACGGGACAAUGCUUGGAGCUGAUCCCUGAGAUAGUUGACCUGAAACGCGAGGUCGAUCGACUGGUCGGGUUAGCGUCUGUGCUGCAUACAGCAAGCAAGCAUAUUUGGGGAUAUUAUGAUAAAGAGGCGGAUGAAGAAGAAGACCUGAGACAACAAGAGGUCGUUCUGCGGCGAGGCGUUGGACGAGCCUUCCUUCUUGCCCUGCUUCAUGAACUGGAUGGCACAAAGAGGGGAGGGGGUGAGAUGGUGAAGGUGAAUAUAACAUAACAGAACAGAACGGGGGAUCCUCAUCGAAUCGACACAGGCAGCGGCCAUGGAUGGAUGGAUGGAUACGAUUACGGCACCUUGAAGGAGAAGGAGAGCACGUCCCUGAGGUCCGGAAGCUUGCUGCCGUCGCCGCCGGUGACCAUGGUUCCGAUGAUCCCUGCAGGCAUACAUACAAACAGACACCACUCCGUCAGCUGCCUGCCUAGCUUAGCAACACGGGGAGCGCGCGCGCGAGCGAGCGGGCGUAAUCGGCACGGGGCAAUCAGCUCGCGGCGCGUCACUGGGAUGGAGGGGGAUUCGCGUGGGGGAGGCUAAAUCGAUGCGGCUCGGCACGCGGGACGGGGAAGGGGGANNNNNNNNNNNNNNNNNNNNNNNNNNNNNNNNNNNNNNNNNNNNNNNNNNNNNNNNNNNNNNNNNNNNNNNNNNNNNNNNNNNNNNNNNNNNNNNNNNNNNNNNNNNNNNNNNNNNNNNNNNNNNNNNNNNNNNNNNNNNNNNNNNNNNNNNNNNNNNNNNNNNNNNNNNNNNNNNNNNNNNNNNNNNNNNNNNNNNNNNNNNNNNNNNNNNNNNNNNNNNNNNNNNNNNNNNNNNNNNNNNNNNNNNNNNNNNNNNNNNNNNNNNNNNNNNNNNNNNNNNNNNNNNNNNNNNNNNNNNNNNNNNGCUGGCGGGUGGGAGGGCCACGGCGACGACGAGGACCAGGAAGAAGCUAGGGUUAUUCGGGGUCGCUCCACUGCGCCUUCCGCCCUCCCUCUCCCUCUCUCUCUCUCUCUUGUUUUAUUUUUUGUUUUUUUUUUGUUUUGGGUUUUGUUUUUGUCUUUCUUUCUUUCUUUCGCAAGGGGAGAAGAGGGGUGGAGAUGCUGCGAGGGCAGACGACGCGCUCGCGCGGGCCGGGGCAGGGCCGGGCCGGGCCUGGGGGAGAAAAGGAUGGGCCACUACAUAUUGGAUCGAAUGGACGGAUGGGCCCAGAUAAAAUAAAAUUCGUGCCCUCAAAAAAAAUCGUUGACCGAUUAUUACACUUUUGCCAGCACUAGUAAGCAUGCACGUGCAACGCACGUCUCUGUAGUGGUAUGUCGGGGCGAUGACCCCAGAGGCGGUACCGGCUGAGUGCGCAAGGCGUGUUGGAGCAGUGGACGUUUUGGAGGCGACCCCGAGAGCUUUGCAACUUCGACGACAUGGACCUCGGGUCAUGUGGGUUACAACUAUUGCAUGCAUGUGGAAUGCUUGUGUCUUCAUCUCCGCGGGAGAGUGCCUCAUGACUUUCUUUCCGGCAGUGAUGGAAGAGCCGCUUGUUCGGCGGAGCGAGUCCCCUGGCUAGUGUGUGUUUGUGUGGUUUAUAAAUUCAUGACGUCCUUCUGCCAAUUUUCAAUGAAUCAUGUUCAUAACUUUAAUCCAAAUAGUAAAUGUCAUAAACGAGCUACAUGUAGUUCAGCAGAGUCCACUGCCUCCUUCCCCCUCCCCCGCCUCUUAUCUUGGGAUGCUCAAUUCAAAAAAGUAGUCUUUGGCCACCUCAAGAAUUGAGGUAUUUACUCUUUGCUUCCCAAGCAAUCCCCAUCUAACCCCACCAUCUUUGGGUUUCUCAUGAAUAUAAUAUUUUUGAUUUAGUAAAAAAGGCACUCAGGUCUUGCAUCCACAUAUUGGGUUCUUUGUUAUGUUGCGGGAAGAAAUCCUCUCUUGUUGGCCCUUCAAAUUGAAAAUGCAUGGCAAUGUUAUCAGCUUAUACUUGAAGAUGGUGCGCAACCUAGACACAUACCGCAAGAAUAAUUUUGUCCAAUAAAGUGUUAUAUAAUAAUCCACUCAUGGGCAGUAGAAGAUAUGAAUUUAAGGGGCCAUGCACAAAAGACUAACAUUAAGGGUGAAUCACAAAUGUAUGAUAGAAAGUGGUACUAAAGCUUAGGUGAAGAAAAUUUCCUAAAAGAAAAUAUGUACCGACUGUCGAAAGAGCGUGACCGGCAGCGGACUUUGGAGGGAACAUUUUACCACUAAAUAAGCUGCUCCAUUUGACAUGCUUAAUUAGUUGUAUUGAAAUUUUGACAACAGCAGGUUUACUUGUUUUACCAGUGACUUGUAAACCAUGGCUAUUUUUUUUCAAUCUUAUGCUACAAUAUAAAACUGGAGACUUUGUCAAAAAAAAACUUUGUCAAAAAAAUAUAAAACUGGAGAGAAAUCCAAUAGGUUUAUUUCACACGAUAUCCUGAAUUGAUCAAAACUACUACCCCAACACCCACUUUGUGAAACUGCUCAAUUUGAGUGAAAUCCAGACAGAAAGCAAUGGUCCGCAAUCGCAAAUUCAGAAAAACAAUAGCAGGCUGCAAGGUGGAUACCAGCAUUUUCACGUGAAAGCAUUUACACUGGCAGUACAGUUGAUGUCCUAGGGGCUGCUACAUUUCCCUCUUGCUUUUCCCAUUUUCAGAGAUGUUGGAAUAGUUAGCAACUGACAACAGAUCUCGAUCAAGCUUCAGGAACUUUAGCGGCUGUAAAUUCAGAAAAAACAUAAAAACACAUUGAGUUCCAUAAUUGCUUUCCUCAAUACAACAAUCCGUAGAUGCUCGGGGUGCGUAUGCACCAGGUGAACAGUAAAAUCAGAAAGAAAAAAAAGAGAGACUAAAUUUAAAAAACUGAUAUCGUUUGCGAUAAAUAUUUUUUUUAGCAUCAGUACAGACACAAGCGCUCAUAUACACGCGCAUACACUCAUCCCUAUGAACGCACACACGCAUACCCUACCUCUAUGAGCACCUCCGAGAGACUGAGCCGACAUAUCAUCUUGAGAUUUACGAAGUCACCAUAGGCGCCUCGUCGUCGACGGGAACUUCUCCUCCCACUGAAAGCGCAUCGCCGGAAAUCCUGAAAUAAAUUCAGAAAUAAUACGAGCACCAGGAUUUGAAUCCUGAUGGGUUGGGGAUACCACUGUCCACCUAACCAUCUCAACCACAGGUUGGUUCGCCGGGAUAUGAAAAAAAUAUCUGUCGAGGUCGGGGCAAAAAAAUCCAAAAGGGUGUUUUUUAGGCAUUCGGGAAACAUCAAAAAACAAUUGGCCGGACCUCCAUGAAUGUUUUCUCAUCACUAAUAUUUGCACGUGGUGAAACAUUCAACAAUGUUUCUCACAAAAAAAAAAUAUUAGGCUUCUCUUUUUUAAAAAUGUACUCUUCACACGGGUGAAUAUGCACCGGAAAGCAGAACAUCACUUCCCCUUCUUUGCUUCUUUUUUAUAAAAACAAACCUACACAUAUACAGUGCUGCUACUCUGAUCUGAUUUAUUCGCUUUUAAUCCAUGAAAUAAAAUCCUAGCAAGUGUUACUGUCGAAAGAAACUCCUACCUAGAUUAUAUACUAGAUCUGAAACACGCCUUGGCGCGAGGGUGCCGGUCAUAACGAUGUGCCCAACCAGGUAAUGCUCAGUUUAGUAGGAAGUCAGAUUUAACAUACAUAUUCAAACAGGAUAUGACAUAACAAACUAAAGGAAGAAGAAACAUUCACACAUAAUAGGAGCAAAACAUCAUCCAGUUCAACACCGUAAUGAGAAAUAAGGCAACAUUCAGUUUAGUGCGUCGGUGAGACAACUAUGUAACCACUUGACAUUAAGUUUGGUAGGAAAAACGUGAACAUGAGAGGGUAUUUACGGUAACCACUUGACCACAAGGUUCUUGAGACCACACGGUUGCCUUCUCGAUCAACUUCACAGGGCACAUUAUCCCUCAAAAAAAAACUUCACAGGGCACAUUAACCUGAUGCAGGCAAUCCGUUAGAUACAUUUCAUAGAACGAUUUGUGUGUAGACAUUGCACAUGCGAUUUUGUACCUUAGCCUUUCAAAGCUUAUGGACGGUGAGCAAUGGUUUCCCAUUUUCAAUUUUGAAGGCAAAGACACAUAUCUAAUACUCUCUAGUCCCUGCCUCUUUGACAAAGUCUGACCAAUUGUUGUUAUUGUUUGUCUCUUGUCCGUACCCAUCAUCAUCCAGACCUGUCUCAUAACAUCUCCAUUGCUGAGACUAACCAUCACGUCCUCGGCCGAUCAUUGAGAUGGUGCUUUAGAUGCAUUUUUUGUGAAGCGACAGAAGUACUGCAAAAAGAAACAUGAUCGGUCAUAGCUGGGUACUACAAUACUCUACUUUAAGUAGUAGGGUAUUUAAGGUCCAUACCAUCCUCAGUCCAGGAGUGACAAAGGUCUUGUUCAUCUUGCAAACAUAAUAUUUGAUGACAGGGACAGUUGAACCAAUGUAAAGCUCAAGUCAUUUGAUCUCGCACAGGAAAAUGUCUAAUUCACCUGCAUAGACACAUUCCUGUUAGACUACUAUAAUAAGUAUCCUGUGUUGAAGAAGUAUACUACAUUGGAUAAGCAUGUAGGAGUAGUUUGCAUCACAAUAACCUUUUGGUAAAAUCGUUGUAAAUGCAGCAAAAAGAAAAAUCAUAGUAAAUGUGGACCAAGAGGUGGCAAAUAAUUAUAAACUAUACAGGUACAAAAAUUGUAAGUUAAAUGAUGCAGCUUGUGGUAGGACCUUUGACCUAGCAUGUUGGGAAAUAUGCCAGUGAAAUAUGCAGCAUAGCUUUAAUGUGAAGCAGCUAUUUGAAUGAACCCAAGCAAAAUAUUCCAUGUCAUUCUUUACGGAAUUUAGAUGAAAAUAGCGUAUCAGCAAGCAUGUGCUCCUAAAAAGAAGCCAUGUCUAGCGGCUCCUAAAAAGAUUCCAUAGACAUAAAAAAAUUGUACAGGAGGGGCAAUUUAUGCACACUACAAAGAAAAUUUUGCAUAACAAUUUGACCUUGCAAAUACUUGCAAUUAGACCUUCUAAUAAAUAAGGUAUGCAACGAAUAGGAAUAAAAAGGGAUAUCAAAAACAUGCAUCUAGAAUAAAAAGAGAAGAUAACCAAUAGCACAACCUGUACUUUGGAUGUAUCCUCGGAUGGUAAAACUGUUCCCAAUACAGUGCUGAAAAAUGGAAAGGAUGGUCUUAUUAGCUGACAGGAACACAAACCAGAAUUUAGUAAACCAACAUUACAUUACUUGAUCCCAAGAACACAUAGGAAGUAAGUUGUUUGGAGGUACCAAUUGGAUGAGUUCAUCGUCAUUGAUAGAGCGGUUCACCUUCUCAUAAAGCCUGAACAAUGCUUCCAUCUCAUUCCUUGACACUUGAUUUAAUUUCAGAAAAAGAAAUCUGAAUCAAACAACCCAAACAGUGGUAAGAAUAAACUGGGAGGAGGAGCUCACAUGAAGAGGUGCAAGCUGAGAGAGGAUAUCCAAGCUGAUGGGAGGCGCAGGCCUUCGGUUACCUUCACAGGAGCAGGGUAGCAGACUCGUGUCAUCAGUGGCCGAUCUCAACCUGGACAAAUUAUCAACCAGCCACCAUUUAAGAUUCAACCUCGUGCCAAAAAAUGCUUGGAUAAUAGUCUGGCGGUCAGGAAAUCUUGAACGGAAAUUGCUUUGAUAUUAGUCCAACUACAAGGGUGGCAAAAUACAUUUGGUUUAAUCAAAGUCUUUCUAAUAUAAAACAUGUUCACUUCAAUUAUUUUGGGAGCUCCAUCUAGCUAUAGGAAAAGUUGCAAGAACCUUAUGGCAAACAGUACAUGCAUCUCAUGAUCACUCAUCAGAGUGAACAGUUUAAUGGCACUUAUAAUCCCCAUGACUCAUAAUAUCAGAAGAUAACCGAUACAAAAUGAGAUGUAAGAAUGGCAUCAUUAUGAAUCCAAUUUCAGAUGAGAAACAAUGAAAAAGAACUCACAUGAAAAUAUUUCUGAUAAGUAAUAAGGAGCAUGUACAUUUGCCUUUUGCCUCAUUGUCUCUCCCUAUCCUGACAGAACUCUCAAGAUCUGCUACACACUGAUAAACCCAUGUUUAAUCACGUAAGGUAUAGAAACAUAAACAGAUGGAUACUGGACUUAUUCAGCAUGCCGACCAAACCUUAAUAAACACUACAUUAACACAUGUCAUGUUGUAGCAGAGGCGUUAUAGUAGACACGCAAGCACGACACCAACUGCGACUAAUGCAUCAUUUAAACAGUAAUCUGUCGGACCACCACAACAGGAGAGAAGAUCAAAAACUACCUGAAUCCAUGGUCGACAAUGACACUGCUCCUCCACUUCAGUGUGCUCCAACCACUGGCCACACACACUGCUGACCAAACCCCGCAACCUGGUCAAUCUGGCAAUGUUGGGGAUAUCGCUUAUCGGGAACUUAUCGGUCGACCCAUGAUAAGGGGUAAAUCGGCCAGUUUAUCGGCAUAUCGGCCGAUUUAUCGCCAUAUCGGCAGAUUUAUCGGCCGAUUUAUCUUAUCAGUCUGACAGCGGUAAGCGAUAAAUCGGCCGAUUUAUCGGCAUAUCGGAAGAUAUCUUGAACAGUGAUCUGGCAGGAUUGGCCAUGCCCAAGGAGGUCGUGGACGCUGCAAUUAGCUCUGCUCUGACGCCCCACCUUCUCCAACUCCACCCUCAUAAGAAUUGAAUGCUACAAGAAAUCAGUCAGUUCAAACUUGAGUCCCUCCAAAAAUGGUUGGAUGCUAGAAGAUACAGUUAUAGGAUAUCAGACCUUGAAAGGCAUGCCAACCACAAGCUUCACAGUAAGAGACCUAUAAAGGAGCCCAGGAGCCUGGCAAAUAAAGGAGGCUUUCAUCAUUAUAGAACACAUUGAACAAGACAUGAAAGCUACACAUCUUUGCUGUAGUUAUUUUAUCAAACCAAGUAAAAAAGUAGCAUUCUCUUGCUAAAUGCAUGAAAACUAAGAGGCUGCUGAAAGUCAUCCAUGUUUAGAUUAGAGAAUAGCUGCAUUGAGAUAUCUUUUGGUGGGUCAAAGAAGAAAAUAUCAAUACAAGCCACAAAAAAGGGUAUUAGCACGUGCUUCUCACCAAUAUCAGCAUAGAUGUGGUUGCUCAUGCCAAGAAACAACAUGGAUGUGGUUGCCUCAAUUGAACUUAGGCACAAGCUUCUCACCAAUCUCAGAAUAGAUGUUUGCCCUGCCAAGAAACAACAAACAUCAAUUACCAAGCAGAAAAGGCAGGAGAAAGUUACAAACAACAUAGGGCGCGGGGUCUAGAGAAGCCAUGUACCUACACAUCCAAAAGGACCAUGUCAGUGUCUUUGAUAGGACUGUUAUCAGUGGAUCCACAAUGCUGCCACAGACGCGAAACAUACACAUGGAUGGUCAGGUUCUUGUUCCCCACAACAAGAGCUUGCAGAUCAGUCAUCGCCAUUUACAACAAAAGUAUCAGCACCAAAACACAACACCACCGUUAAACUCAGUAAAUCUCUAUGACAUAAAGCAAACCACAGAAUGAAGCCAAUCCCAGUACAGGAGAACAUUCAAAAUAUCACCCCAUCGCAUGGGACGACAUAUUUAUUCAGCCAACACUAUAUGUCGCCACCCAAAAUAUCAUCCAACUCACAAAAGCAUGUCAAAACCCACCAAAAUGAAGACUACCAUCAUACACAAACCUAAGUCAUCCCGGCGGCCUGGAAGACCUCAGGGAAAACAAUGUUCUUGGUCUCAGAGCCGCAUUUGCCAUCAGCAUCUAAUAUAAAGAUUUUCAGAGAAACCCUCGAUGUAACACGAGACACUGCCACAUACAGCUGCCCGUGCGUAAAAACCGGACCCUUAAGAUAUAUACCAACAGCAGACAGGGUCUGUUCCUGGCUCUUAUUAAUUGUCAUGGCAUAGCACACACGAACAGGAAACUGGCGACGUCUAAGCACAAAAGGUGCAUUUCCCUUCUUUGCCAAUAAUUCAAUCCUGGGAAUAUAAACAAUAUCACCCAUAUGUGAGCCAGUCAUAAUGACAGCUUCGAUCAGCCGAUCACCUAAUUCUUUUACAACUAGUCGUGUACUGUUACACAAACCAUUUGCCUGGCUCAGGUUUCUAAGAAGCAUAAUCGGAACACCAACCUUAAGAGUCAGCCUAUGGUUUGGGAAAUUUAUAAUUUUAGUUGCGUUCAGGUACUCGACUGGAUAGUAAAUAUCUUUGUCCCUAACAGAAUCAGAAGAAUCGUCAAUAGAAUCAGCACUCAAAUAGUCUCUGCUAUCAGUAGGAACCAAUGCAAGAAUAUGAUCAUUAAUAUCCUUAGCAUGGUCGUUGGUAGGGGCUAAAAUGGCUCUCUCUUGCAAGUAACCAGAGUUCAAGUAGUUAUGCAAAAAAAUCACCAUAGACAGAAGAAACAAUAGCAGCAACUAGAUCACUAGACGUACAAACCAAGAGGUCGUCCAGGAUCUGUAUCCAAGAAGCCUCGACCUCAUCGCCUCGCCUUGUGACAGGCAACUUCCCUUCCCCAAGAUCUAGCACCCAUCUGCUAAACAAGGCAACAUCCUUCUGUGCCCGGGUAUCCGCACCAUGCACACCCAAGCGCAUGUUAAUAGAAAGCGACAAUUUUUGAACAGAAUGCCACAACGGAGAAUUCAUGAUUGCCGCAUCAAUGAUCUGAGGCCUAGUACCUCCCUCAACGACCGGUAAGAUUUGUCUAAGGUCACCACCCAAGACCAUCACUACUCCACCGAACGGAAUAUUCGCAAGAUCUGGAUUAGCCACAGAGAGGACAUCACGCAAAGUUCUUCUACAUCCUCAAAGCAUUUCCUGUGUGUCAUCAGCGCCUCGUCCCAAAUAACAAGCGAAGAUACCAUCAGCAACUUACAAAGCUUAGAGCCUCUUUUAAUAUCACACUAUGUAUUAUCUUCAAGAAGAAUAGGUAUCUUAAAGCGAGAAUGAGCAGUCCUCUCACCAGGCAACAACAGCGACGCAAUACCCGACGACGCAACAGUAAGCACUAUCUUCCUCUCGCCCCUAAGGAAAGCACAUAUUGCACUCCACAGGUAUGUCUUCCCAGUACCACCGUACCCAGAGACAAAAAAAGGCCCGGUCUCCCCGCCUGCACACACUCUACAAUCGUCUUAUAAGCAACCAAUUGGUCCUCAUUUAAACUAUCAAACAUGACCAAGGACUGUUUAGACAGAGCACAUGCAUCAUAAGACAGUUCCUCACGAAUUAGACGAUUAUCAUCAGACUGCUCACCUUCGCCAGAGCGAGACGGCAAGUUAAAAUUUCUUAUAUCAGAACCACGUUUCAAGAAAACGUCGGCCAACUCAUCAAGAAGCAUAUUUCUCAAUCUUUCAGGAGGAACAACAUAGUUUGGAUUACCCAGGGCAUGGUGCAACCCAUGCUGGAUAUCAUCGUACAUGCUAGCGCAGUAAUGUUCAAAGAAACCCAUCUCAUCCUUGAUAGAACAAUGCAUGAGCAUAGUCACAAAUAGCUGUCUAAGUCUAUGCCCGAACCCCCAGACAACCGCUUCAUCAAACGCUAUGUACAACUCAUUGUCGUCUCCUAUCAAACCACGCGCAGCACAAGCCUCUUUAAAGGUGUUAUAAAGACGACUAGCAUAUGUUCAAAGAUCUUCGAAAGACCUAGCCCCCUUAACAAUCGUCAAAAGCAUGCGCGAGUAAUACAACUCACCACUCAAAGGAUGGACAUAAUACACGCGGCCAAUCUUUUCACCCCCACCCCUUCGAUGCCAUAACCUACUUUUAGCGUCCCAUGUCCAAGCAGUUGGAAAAUCACAAUAAGUUAAUGAACGGGCUUCUUCGAACAUCUCAUUCGCAACAAACCAUUCGGUAAGCAUAGUCUUUCGCAAGAAGUCAGAAUCAACAAUUUUCAUGAGGUCAGCACCAGCACGAUAGUAAACAGUAUUCAUGCCAGGCAUAUGAACGGCCAGCCUUUGAACCGACGGCAUUUUAAAAUGUAUUUCAAACCCAAAUAUGCACCACAAUGCAUCGUACUCACAUAUAUACCGACAUAUCAGAUACUCCUGAACCUCAUCUACUAUACGACAACCAGAUUUAGUCAUUUUUUGGCCUUUCUAACAUGACCUUAGAGUAGUCAGCACCUUUGGUGACAUACUUAAAGAGAUAUUUCAUCACCUGUGUCUUAUUACACCACUCUACAUUUAUAUGUCCCUGAAAUUUCUUGAGCAUCGCCAUAUUAUAAGGAACAACAUGCCUAUUGUCAAGGUAAUGGCCAUUUUUAUAGACCCUUCGACCAUCGUCACGACGUCGAUAUAAGGCAAACCCAUUAUCAUCAAUGACAAUGGUAUCUCUAAAAUCUUUUGGGAAAUAUUUAGAACAAACACCAUUUUUCAUGCAGACACAUUUAUCGUUCAUUUCACCACACGGACCGUGCAUCAUAAACUCAGAAACUAAAGCAUAUCCUAGAGGAUCAAGCAAUGCAUCAGGUAUUUUAGCAGAUAUUGAUGAAUUAAUAUUUUCAACACCAAUCUCACCGUUACCCCCUCUCCGCCAGACAAGUAUAUGCGCGUGAGGCAGUCCCCGCUUCUGGAACUCAACGGUAUACAACACUGAAAAAAGGACAUAAAAGCUCAAUUAGACAACCCAGCCAACAGAAGAAGUAAAAUAUCAUUAAAAAAACAACCACACACAAAGCACAGAGGUCACAAUACCAGCCGUAAUGGGGCCAAAAGCCCGGUCUGACUUAAUCUCGUCCAAGUACUCGGUGAGUUUCAUGUGAUAGACCCUAACAACAAUAUCCGCCCUAUCAGAAGGCGUCUGACCUGGUUCCAAUGCACUGGUGAUCUCAGGCCACUUGGCAUUGCAAGUGAAAGUGGUAAAUAUGUCAGGCGCACUGUGCACCCGACAAACGGCAAGGCCAUCAUGAAAAUUUUCAUGGAAGUAACGACGACCGCCUAUGUGACUGGAAGGUACAAUGGUCCUCUUCCCAAGAGCAUCACCAUCAACACACCCAUCACCUACCGCAUCAGUAAUACCCUGCAUGUGCUCUGAUCUAAGCAUGUCCUGAUUUCUUAUGAUAUACCACAAUCUACUUUCAUCGAUGCACGCGCGUGCAUCAACAACCGACUGAGAAGAGAGGAGACCAUAACAUAUAUAUGGAUUGGGCUGAUCACCCUUGUAAUGGCACAUAAAAUGAUAGUAAUCCUGCAUGGUCAUCCUAUUCCGACUAUUUGUGGAAGCAUCACCACCCCUAGAAGGGUAUGAAGAGGACGCCUCAAUGGCCGGACUUCCAAGUGUAGGAUUAGGAUCUAUAGGUCCAUCGUCAUCAUCUUCUUCAGGAACAAUCAAGUGAGGAACAUCCACCUGGAACCCUCUCUCUCCAUAAGGGAAAAGCAACGGGUAUUGCAGAGGCAUGAAUGCAGUGUUUAGAGAAGAUAUCUGCUGCAAACCGUCGGAACGACUGCAAACAACAAUAUCACGAGAAGAUGCCUCUAACGUGAAGCCGCCACUGACAACUAAAGCAACAAGCCCAGUGGUUGUAGGCAAACUAAAUUGUGGACUAUCGCCCUCAGAAGGUCCAAUAAUACGAAUCGAGAUAUCCUCGAUGGGUUCAUCACCACGAUCCUCUAUCAUCUUACUCGCCUCCCGAAAGGUCUGUACCAAUAGGUUAAACUCAUUAAGCAUGUCUCUAAGACCAACCACAAUACUCUCAUCCACACCCCCAGUAGGCUUAUCAUCUGGAUUUAAGGCAUUCAUCCCAUGUCUAAUCUCAUUAGCUGGGUCAUGUAUAUACAACUCAGCAAACUUAGGGGUAUCAUCACCGCUAGGCACCAACGAACCAAUACAAUGAGACACUUGACCACUGAUCUUAAAAAUCUUAGGUCCACGGCUGCUACCAAACGAGCGUUCAAUAGUAGCACCCAUCGAAGUGAAAGCGAACAUACAGUUGUACUCACGUAUAGUCCGGAUGAAUUUUUUAGCACGAGAAGUACCAUCGAAUCGAAGGAGCUUCCGAAGAUAGGCUGGGGGAUCCUUAAAGGGAGGAAUAUAUACCUUAGCGCCUUUACACAGCGAUUAUAAACCAUCUUACGUUGUGUCCAGGAUGACCUGGACUUUGAACACUCAGCAAACCAAAAGGAGGCACCACAGUAUUGGCACAAGAAAUCCGGAGGGCCAUAGUACGACCUAUCUGCAUAGCAAGCUAACGGCAAAAUCAUCAGCCACAAACCAAGGGUAUAAGGAAGACAAUAAUCACAUAACCAAAACAACAGAGGUCUUGUUAAUAAGUACCUUUAAGGGACUCGGCAAACUUGACCGAGAAACCUUGCCAAUCCUUUGGCACAGGCCCUUGGACAACAAUCUCUGACAAGGCAUGUAAAACCAAAUUAGAGAACAUACGGCAAACAACAAUAACUAACAACAAACCAAGAAAUCUCAUGCACCUUCACAUCCAGGACGUCGCAAUUUAAUUGACACUUUCCAUCGUUUCCGUCUGUUGCGGUCUACCCCGGUCACUCCGAACUCACAUAAACCGAGAAACCAUGCCAAUCCUUCGGCAAAGGCCCAUCAACGACAUGUUCUUAACAGGACAUGCAGAACCAAGUAAGACACCACACGGCCAACAACAACAACCAACAACAAACAAAGAACUUCCAUGCACCUUCAUAUCGAGCGCGCCGAAACUCAACGCACAUUUUCCGUUUUUUGCAAUUUACCGCAGCCACGGUCGAGCUCAGAAAAGGGAACCAGCCAUCACCUAACCACGUCGCAAACAACACAGUAACGAAAUAAUUAUCAUCAAUCCCUAGGAGACCAAAUAUAAAAGAAGAACAAUGAUACACACGUACUUGUACGGCUUCGAGGAGGACACCCAACAGGCUGACGUGGCACGUAACGUCUAGCAAUCCUAGGGACCGCCGCACGCCUAGGAGCGGCGGUGAACCCAGGACCAGGGACAACAGUAGCGGCUGCAUUCCCAGAAUCAGCACCACGGCCAGGGACACGGCCACGAACACCCCUACCACUUGGCCGAGGCAUGGCGCCACGCCCAGCGGUAGGCACCUGCCGAGCACCACGCCCACGCCUGGCGAUAGGCUCAGCUCCAGCAGCAGGCACCCGCCGACUCACACCCCUACGCCUGUCAAGAGGCUCAGCUCCAGCGUCAGGCACCCGGCAAGCAGCGACAUGAUCAGAAACAGGGGCACGCCCUAUAUUAGAACCUCCCUGGCCAGUGGCUCGUCCACGACGACCAGCAAAACGCCCACGUCCACGGCCACGACCAGCAGAACGCCCAACACCAGCCUCAACCGUGCCUUGAGCAUGAGCCGCAACCGGACCACGGGCCAUGUCAAUGACCCAACAACAUCAUACACACACGCUGGACAAAUAAGAAGCAAGAACCACGUAAGCAUACAUCAUAGAAUAACAUAACAAUAGGUAGCAGAGUAUAAAACACAGUACAUAUAAUCAUAUACUGCAUGAGCAGCAUAACCAGAAACACGAUAAAACUGUCAUUGAAUAAAGGAACAACGAAUACGACCAUAAUUGAAUAAACGAACCAUUAAUGUUUCACGCGUUAUUACAACCAGACACUUAUUACAGUGUACAUACACACGAGGAUCUGAAUGCAGGUCAACCAGACGAAGGGGAAGAGGACAUUGGAGGGGAGUUCAUACCUGCAGAGGCGGAUCUCAGUUCGGCGGGGGUGGCACGAAUCAGUCCGGCGAGCUGCGCGCUGCUCAGGGGCAGCGCAUGAUCCGGCGAGCCGCGUAGUGCUCAGGGGCGGCGAACGGCGACGGAGAACAGGGGAGGAUCAAUCUACCUCUCUCUAUCUCCACAUGUAUCUACAAUGGAUGCUCAACAAUGAGAUUCUUAAAGCCAAGAUGUAUCACAGAACUAACAACAAGGAAAUAGCCAUUCUUCUCAGUUUUCCAGCAACAACACUGCUCACGAUUUGAUAAGCUCAAUACGUGUGUCUAUUGUCACCUGGCAUAUCAUUCAUAUCUUCAUCCACAUUGGUGCUCAUGAACGUGUACCAGGUACACGGGAUCUCUAGAUUUACUUCUAGAGAAGGGAGCAAGUAGGUAGUAUUUCUACCACAUGAAUCUAGAGGUACUAUUUCUCAAACAUAUUUCUACCACAUAAAGAACAAGUCAGACCUGUGGCGUCGAGGCUGCUGCCCUGCCUGCCCUGCUGCCCUCCUACAUCACCACAGAGUACCAUCGUCACGCGUGCAGUAACAGCAGCUUAGAUCAGAAACCCGAGGUCAGAGGGGCCGAAACCGUGGGAAGCAAAGGCGGUGAGUAGGGGGGAGGGGCGGGGUGGGAGGGGGAGGGUUGGGGAGCUCACCAUGGUGGGGAUCUCGCGAGGAGGCGGCGCCGGUGACGGUGUAGAAUGACCUGGUGCUCACCGAACUCGUCGGCGUCGAUACAAUCAGACGGCCAACAAUCUCCUCCCAGCAACGGCGAGGGGCGAGCUCGACGGGAGAGCAGCGAGGCGGCAACGAUCUCGGUGAUAGGAGACGAACGGGGAGAAGUGGAAUAGGAGCACGGCGGCGGCAGCGGCGGCGGCGGCGAUACAAUCAGACGGCCAACAAUCUCCUCCCAGCAACGGCGAGGGGCGAGCUCGAUGGGAGAGCAGCGAGGCGACAACGAUCUCGGUGAUAGGAGACGAACGGGGAGAAGUGGAAUAGGAGCACGGCGGCGGCGAAGAAUCGUGCUGCAAUGGGCAGUGUCGAGAGAGGGAGAGAGAGCUGGAACGGAGCGAUGCGGCGGCUAGGUUUGGGACAGGAGAAACGGCAGGGAUUUUUAUCUCACAGCGAAAUUCCAAUAAUGCUCUCGGCGGGCGAUCAAAAUUACACGUGGUGGCAUCCCGUUUUGGAUACGGUUUCGAUCUACAGUUUCACGGUUCGAUCCGACGGACGGGAUCCUUCAGGGGCUUGAUCAGACGGUCGAGAAGGCAUCAAGCUCCGGAUCCGACGGCCCGUAAUCGCUAAUCUAUGAGGAGGCUGGGCCUCUCCCAGUAUGUAUCUUACGCGAUAUGGAUGUGCGGCAAGGUGUUGCCGCCCCGAGGCGGCGCUCCGACAACCUGCAACCAGGCUCGAAUCUCAUAUGGCAAUGCCCGACUCUGCCUAAAGUUCAAAUUAAGUGGAAAGUUGCUUCAAGUGUCCCCGACACACAAUAGAAUCUGUGCAUGCGUGGGAUGGAUACUAAUCUAAGGAUCUGUUUGGUUCAUAAGUCUUAAGACUUUUUUAGUCCCAACUUAUAAGUUUCAAGUCCCUAAAAAGUCUCUACAUGUUUGGUUCCUGAGACUUAUAAGUUUCUAUAAGACCAUAUUACAACUAUAAGUCCUUAUAAGUCCUUCCUUAAAAGUCUUAUUUCAUAAGUCUUAAAUGCCCACUUUAAGUCCCUAUAAGUCCUUCUUGUUUGGUUUAGAUGAGACUUAUAGGGACUUAUUUAAGUCCCUAGACCAAUAAAUUUCUGGAAACAAACACUCUCUAACUCGCGUGAUCUAUGUGGUCUGAAGAGCAAGAACACCUCUUUCAUGCUUUCGUUGGAUGGCCUCAUGCCCGCACACUUUGGCUGGCUAUGUGAAGUUUGGGAUCUCCCGAACACUUGAGCUUUUUCAUGCUAAAUGUGUGGGAAUGGAUUCUCCGCGCCUAGCAUGAAUUGAAUAGUGGUAUAUGGCAGGUGCACAUGUGCAUACUGAACUUACACAUGAGAAGCCCACCCCCAUCAGCUGAAGGAUCAAGAAGAUUCCUUGCGAGCUACUCUGUCCGUUCCAAAAUACUUGACGUGGUUUUAUUUCAAAUACUCAACUCACUCAUCCCCAUUCAACAACAUCCCGAUGGUGGCAUUGCCAAGGGCAAGCAUGUGGUCUCUUAUUCGCAAGAUACAACUCUAGAACGACACUGUAUGGAUGGGCGCAACAAGGUGUGACCAAAAUGGUGUUCUUCGGGCAAGACGGGAGUGAAAGUGAAUGCAGACGAGUCCUCCAUGUGUAUUGGUUUUGUGGUGCAGCCGUGCAAGUAUUUCAUCCAGUGACAACUUGUCAUCAUGUUUUUGGUGCGCCAUGUAAAAAGAAUAUUCUCCAUGAUAAUCAAAUAUGGCCUAUUUAUUUUCAGUAAUGUUACCCAGCUGAUGUUCGCUGGGAAGGGGGUGGCAAGCAAACCCUCUUUGAUGGCAAUUUUAGUUUUGAGAAGAGAUAAAACUAUGACAAUUUUUAAACGAAAAUUGCCUUCUGGUACAAUUGUCAUGUCUUCUAUAGAAAAUGCCACCCUCACUAAUUCACCACAACUAAAAAUUGUUACUGAAUCGUUCGCAUGUGCCAUCCCGCGGAACGUUCACCUAUUAACAAGGUCCUUUAUUUUUCGGAGUGAUUCACUUAGGUAUGAGGACCCGCUUUGCUGGCUCUUGUGCUCGUUGUGAGCGCUCAAUCCCGUUGAAUAUGAUCCCUGAAUUAACCAGGGACAGAGAUGUUAUCGUCUUGCUUCCUGAACUAAUCAUGGAAAGAGAUGUUGCCGUCAUGGGAAUAUGGUGAGACCCAAAAAGGAUCAUGCUCCCCCCGGGAUGACCGCUCCCUCCCCUCCCUCCCCUCCCCUCCCCUCUCCCUCGGGAGAAGCGACCGAGGCGCCAUUAAAGCUAGCUUAUCCUCAGCUUCCCACCCACCCCCGCAUCUCAUCGAGUCCUCCCCGCCCCAGUUCCACAUUGGAGAUCUCGCAUGGAUGGAGCGCGUCGUCGCGGCGUGCGGGUGCGCCAACUUGCGCCGGUGGCAAGGGUAGCGGAGCCGCGGACUCGUCUGCCUCCGGCAGCGGCACUGCUGCCCGAAAUCGAUCCACACUCGCCGGAGGCUCGCCGCGAGAUGCGUCGGGUGGUGCUGGAGCGCUUCCCCGAUCGGGACGAGUGGGGGGAGAUCCAUCUCCACAUCCUCCGCCACGCGAACUUCGUCGAGCGCGCGCGCUUAUUGGAGACGACGGCUGCAAGGAUCUGGAGCUUCUCUUCUGGGCGAUCCAGGAGGCCGAAUCGCCGGAUCCGCGUCAAGCUGCGCGGUGGGAGAACUUUAGGACGGCGAACCCGUCCAGGCUCAACAUCCGACCGCCUUCGUGGGAGGGCAUCGCCGACAUCCCGCCGGAGUUCCUUCCGUCGAGGAUUGUUUGGCCCCAAUGCCGCCAGUAGAUCGUCUACCCCAACUGGUUCGAGCUCAGCGACGACCCAUCGAGCCCCCGCCUUGGCCUGGUGAGUUAGGUAUGCACUGCAUUCAUGCUGAUUUACCUCUGAGAGCUCGGUUGCGGGAUUUUCGAUUGCGCCGGCAAAGGGUUGCAAAACCAAAAUGUUUUGGGUGUUUGUAAUCAGGGUGAGGGUUUGGUUAUGGAUUUGGGGGUUCUCCCUCAUGAGACCGUGUGUGUUGAGAAGCGAGAUGCUGUUUAUACAGCUGGCGAGACCUUGUCGGAGCUGGAUUCCGGCGAGGGGCUCAGGCAAAACCCAGGCAGGAAUACUUUGGCGGGGGCGGGGGCACUUUGCCACUUCUCCCCCCAAACCCAGUGUUGACUGGUCCCAAUUUCAAAAUCCGUGUCCUGGGUGAGAAAGCGGGUAGGGUGAGUCGAUUACGUAAAGCAGAAACCCUAGAAAGUGUGGAGGAACACUUUGGCCAGCUCUGGCUUAUUCCUUCCCCUCCCCGCCGCCGCAACUACAAAACUCACACCCCGUAGCCUCAAAAUAACCCUAAAUCCGGAUUCCUCUGUUGGAUUCAGAAAGACCUAGUUGAGAGCAAUUCCUUUGCAGCUGCUGAUUGUUUUCCUACCUCAAUUCGACCUUUCGAUCCACCACCGAAAAACAUCAAAAUCUCGCGAGAGGGGAUUGGCCCUGGCACGCUUUCCUUUGCAGAGGUAGUGAAGUGGGGAUCAAAGAUGGCCGAUCGCCGUGUAGGAGGGGGCGGCAAUCUUGCUGCUGGCCAAUCCAAGGCUACGGGACAGAAGGUUGCCUCAUUCGUUGGACGCAAGCAGCCAUCUGCUCCGCCUGCGAAAGAAUAUGCCCCUGCUCUCAAACCUACCAGAUCCACGGCCUCGACUGGGGGCUCGGCCCAUGUAUAGUCUUCUCAAUCUGGUGAACUGGAAGUUGAACAGGUCCUUGAUCUUAGAUAUAAAGACACGAUAUGCUUCAAUUGUGGGGGCCCUGGUCACUAUGUGGGAAAUUGUGUGAAGCCAAAAGCAUGUUUUAUAUGCCAGCAGAAUCACAAUGUCAACAACUAUGCAGCAUGGUCCAAAGUUGAACCCACUGCUCCUUUCUUUGGCAGUGGGGCGCGAGGGCUUGGUUUCUACCAUGUGGAUGUCCCUGUAGCCAAUGAAUCAAAAUGGCUGGAUUUUUAGAACUAUGUUGUGGUGAACAUUCUGAAAGGAGAAGUGGGCGGCUCUAAGUUGAUGGAACUCCUGACUGCAACAUUUUGCAAGACUAGACAAUGGCCAUGGCAGAUCAGAGGGUUAUCUAGCAAGACCUUCUUGGUUAGAUUUCCCCCUUGGAAGAAAGUUGAGGACCUCAUUGAGCUGCCUGGAUUUUCUCUGCCCCAGGAUGUGAAUGUUACUUUGACUGAAUGGAAAGGUGGCUAUGACCCUUUUGGGGAAUUGAUUGAAGCUUGGGUUCUGAUUGAGGGCAUUCCUCCUAAAUGGUGUACUUGGAAAGUAUUUGCUCAAAUUGCUUCUCUCUUUGGGGUACUUACUGAUGUAGAUUGGAAUGGCAUGUUCAGAACCUUUUUUGAGAAUGUCAAGAUAAAAAUUGCUUGUAGAGAUCCCACCAAGAUACCUUUUGAGAGACUGGUUGAGAUGAAGAAGAAACUUUUCCUGCUAGGUUUUACCGUUGAGGGCUUUGAACGGGUGGGGGGUAGACUCUGUCAUUGAUGUGGAGGAUGAUGAGGAUGGUGAUGAGGAAGAAGAAGGAGCUGAGGAAGAUCAAGUAGCAGAGGGCAGUGGGACUCAUGGAGAACAUGCAUCUGAUGGGUCUGGGGAUGGGGGUUUGGCCAUUGAGAUCUAGAUAAAAGCUAACUUCCCAGCCAAAAUGGGUCUGGCAAGCAUGUAUCUCAGAGUAUGGUGAUGUCACCUAUGGAAAUGUUCCCUGAUUCUGAUCAGGAGAACUUUAUCUUGGAAUGUGCAAUGGUUGAAGCUGAUCAAGGUGCUCCAUCUUCUGAUGGAAACGUGAUGAGGGUUGAACACAAAGAUAAUCUACUAGGAUUUGAUCAAGAGUUUGAUAGAUGUGAGAGAGAGGGUGAUUUAAUGAUUGGAGAGAGCCUGAUUCAAAAAACUCAUGAUCCUUCUGGAAAAAAUGAUAUGACCUUACUUGGGGAGAGAUCUAGGAGUAUGGAUUAUUGUAAGGGCCUACUCAGGUCUGUGGACUUAUCUGAGUCUGAAAAUGAGGAAUCUAAAGAAGAGGAGUUGGGGGUUCUCCCUCCUGAGGCCAUACAUAUCUUACAAAGUGAGACCCUGAAGAGGUCCCUACUGGAAUCAAUCAACCAAGCUCAAAAAUAUGGAACCAUUCUUGAGAAGAAAACUAAAUGGGGGCCUAUUUUAACUCAAAAGCAUGCUACCAGAGGUCAUGGAAAUGUCAACAUCAUGGAGAAAGCUUCUGCAUAUAAGAGGGAGAAGAAUCUGGAAGUCCCAAAAACAUUUAAAGGUAAAUCGUUUUCGACUAUUGAUAAAUCUAUUCUUGCUGAUCAAAUGGAACAAAUAAAUCUAAUAAUUGGAGGGGAUGAACUUCAAAAGAAAGACACCAUUGAGGAGAUGGUGGCUGAGGAAAAAGAGAGAUGUCUGGUUUUUUGCCAGCAAGAACCCUGAAAUUUUCUCCCUGAUAACCUAGAUAUUUAUAUCAAUGAUGUAGUUAGUAUACCUAUGAGUGAAUUUUCCUUUGAGCCAGUUGGCACUGCUGUUGCUACAAGGAAAACCCACACUGUUCUAACUAAAGCCAAGCCUUGUGGCUUAUCACAUCCUUUAAAAAAAUUAACUAUGAUAGGUCUUAUUUGGAAUAUUAGGGGUCUUGGACAACCUGGAAAAAUUCAGUGCCUAUGUGAUACUAUUGCCAAAACUAAUCCUGAUUUUAUCGGUUUUCAAGAGACUAAGAGAGAAAUUAUUUCUGAGGGUUUCCUCAAAGCUGUGGAUAGGUGAUACGUCUCCAACGUAUCUAUAAUUUUUGAUUGCUCAUGCUAUAUUAUCUACUGUUUUGGACUAUAUUGGGCUUUAUUUUCCACUUUUUUUUGGGACUAACCUAUUAACCGGAGGCCCAACCCACUUAUAUCUUUUGAGUGUUAUAAUUUUGCUCUAUGUGCUUCACUUAGAUCUUUUAGACCACGGUGGUGGAUUUGUUUUAAAGAAACUAUUGAUCUCUCAUGCUUCACUUAAAUUAUUUUGAGAGUCUCUUAAUAGCGUGGUAAUUUGCUUAAUAAUAAUAUGCUUGGUGUUCAAGAUUUGUGAAACUUUCUUUUGAGUGUGUUGAAUACUAAGAAAAGAUUGAAGCAUGAUAAUUGUUUUGAGAUAUGGAGGUGAUAAUAUUAAAUUCAUGCUAGUUGAGUAGUUGUGAAUUUAAAGAAUACUUGUGUUAAAGUUUGUGAUUCCCGUAUCAUGCACGUAUGGUGAACCGUUAUGUGAUGAAGUUGGAGCAUGAUUUAUUUAUUGAUUGUCUUCCUUAUGAGUGGCGGUCGGGGACGAGCGAUGGUCUUUUCCUACCAAUCUAUCCCCCUAGGAGCAUGCGCGUAAUACUUUGCUUUGAUAACUUCUAGAUUUUUGCAAUAAGUAUAUGAGUUCUUUAUGACUAAUGUUGAGUCCAUGGAUCAUACGCACUCUCACCCUUCCACCUUUGCUAGCCUCUCUAAUACCGCGCACCUUUCGCCGGUAUCAUACACCUACCAUAUACCUUCCUCAAAACAGCCACCAUACCUACCUAUUAUGGCAUUUCGAUAGCCAUUCCGAGAUAUAUUGCCAUGCAACUUUCCACCAUCUAGUUCAUCAUGACACACUCCAUCAUUGUCAUAUUGCAUAUCCCGGUACACCACCGGAUGCAUUCACAUAGAGUCAUAUUUUGUUCUAAGUAUCGAGUUGUAAUUGUUGAGUUGUAAGAAAAAUAAAAGUGUGAUGAUCAUCAUUAUUAGAUCAUUGUCCCAAGUGAGGAAAGAAUGAUGGAGACUAUGAUUCCCCCAUAAGUCGGGAUGAGACUCCGAACGAAAAAUAAAUAAAAGAGGCCAAAGAAGCCCAAAUAAAAAGAGGCCAUAAAAAAGAGAAAAGGCCCAAAUAAAAAAAUGAGAGAAAAAGAGAGAAGGGACAAUGUUACUAUCCUUUUACCACACUUGUGCUUCAAAGUAGCACCAUGAUUUUCAUAGUAGAGAGUCUCUCAUGUUAUCACUUUCAUAUACUAGUGGGAAUUUUACAUUAUAGAACUUGGCUUGUAUAUUCCAAUGAUGGGCUUCCUCAAAUUGCCCUAGGUCUUCACGAUUAAGCAAGUUGGAUGCACACCCACUUAGUUUCUUUUUGAGCUUUCAUAUACUUAUAGCUCUAGUGCAUCCGUUGCAUGGCAAUCCCUACUCACUCACAUUAAUAUCUAUUGAUGGGCAUCUCCAUAGCCCGUUGAUACGCCUAGUUCAUGUGAGACUAUCUUCUCCUUUUUGUCUUCUCCACAACCACCAUUCUAUUCCACCUAUAGUGCUAUAUCCAUGGCUCACGCUCAUGUAUUGUGUGAAGAUUGAAAAAGUUUUGAAAAAGUUAGAGUAUGAAACAAUUGCUUGGCUUGUCAUCGGGGUUGUGCAUGAUUUAAAUACUUUGUGUGGUGAAGAUAGAGCAUAGCCAGACUAUAUGAUUUUGUAGGGAUAACUUUCUUUGGCCAUGUUAUUUUGAGAAGACAUAAUUGCUUAUUAGUAUGCUUGAAGUAUUAUUAUUUUUAUGUCAAUAUAAACUUUUGUCUUGAAUCUUUCUAAUCUGAAUAUUCAUACCACAAUUAAGAAGAUUUGCAUUGAAAUUAUGCCAAGUAGCACUCCGCAUCAAAAGUUCUCUUUUUAUCAUUUACCUACUCGAGGACGAGCAGGAAUUAAGCUUGGGGAUGCCUGAUACGUCCCCAACGUAUCUAUAAUUUUUGAUUGCUCCAUGUUAUAUUAUCUUCUGGUUUGGACUAUAUUGGGCUUUACUUUCCACUUUUAUAUUAUUUUUGGGACUAACCUAUUAACCGAAGGCCCAGUCCAGAAUUGCUGUUUUUUGCCUAUUUCAGUGUUUCGAAGAAACGGAAUAUCAAACGGAGUCCAAACAGAAUAAAAUCUUCGGGAACGUGAUUUUCUCACCGAACGUGAUCCAGGAGACUUGGACCCUGCUCCAAGGAACAAAAGAGGCGGUCCCGAGGGUGGGGGCGCCCCCCCCCCUAGGGCGUGCCCCCUGCCUCGUGGGCCCCUUGGUGCUCCUCCGGCAUACUUCUUCCUCCUAUAUAUACACACGUACCCCCAAACGAUCAGAACAGGAGCCAAAAACCUAAUUCCACUGCCGCAACUUUCUAUAUCCACGAGAUCCCAUCUUGGGGUCUGUUCCGGAGCUCCGCCGGAAGAGGGCCGUCAUCACGGAGGGCUUCUACAUCAUCCUAGCCUCUCCGAUGAAGUGUGAGUAGUUUACCUCAGACCUUCGGGUCCAUAGUUAGUAGCUAGAUGGCUUCUUCUCUCUCUUUGAAUCUCAAUACAAAGUUCUCCCCUCUCUUGUGGAGAUCUAUUCGAUGUAAUCUUCUUUUUGCGGUGUGUUUGUUGAGACCGAUGAAUUGUGGGUUUAUGAUCAAGUCUAUCUAUGAAUAAUAUUUGAAUCUUCUCUGAAUUCUUUUAUGUAUGAUUGGUUAUCUUUGCAAGUCUCUUCAAAUUAUCCGUUUGGUUUGGCCAACUAGAUUGGUAGUUCUUGCCAUGGGAGAAGUGCUUAGCUUUGGGUUCGAUCUUGCGGUGUCCUUACCCAGUGACAGAAGGGGCAGCAAGGCACGUAUUGUAUCGUUGCCAUCGAGGAUAACAAGAUGGGGUUUAUUUCAUAUUGCAUGAAUUUAUCUCUCUACAUCAUGUCAUCUUGCUUAAGGCGUUACUCUGUUUUUAACUUAAUACUCUAGAUGCAUGCUGGAUAGUGGUCGAUGAGUGGAGUAAUAGUAGUAGAUGCAGAAUCGUUUUGAUCUACUUGUCACGGACGUGAUGCCUAUAUACAUGAUCAUGCCUAGAUAUUCUCAUAACUAUGCUCAAUUCUGUCAAUUGCUCAACAGUAAUUUGUUCACCUACCGUAGAAUACUUAUGCUCUUGAGAGAAGCCACUAGUGAAACCUAUGCCCCCCGGGUCUAUUCUCAUCAUAUCAAUCUCCAUCACUUUAAUCUUGCUUUGCUUUUUUACUUUGCUUUUACUUUUUUACUUUGCAUCUUUAUACCAAAAAUACCAAAAAUAUUAUAUCUAUCACAUAUCACUCUCCUAAGUGACCGUGAAGGGAUUGACAACCCCUAAUCGCGUUGGUUGCGAGUAGUUAUCGCUUUGUGCAGGUAUGAGGGACUUGAGCGUGGCCUCCUACUGGAUUGAUACCUUGGUUCUCAAAAACUGAGGGAAAUACUUACGCUACUCUGCUGCAUCAUCCCUUCCUCUUCGGGGAAAACCAACGCAAGCUCAAGACGUAGCAAGAAGGAUUCCUGCGCCGUUGCCGGGGAGUCUACGCAAAAAGUCAACAUACCAAGUACCCAUCACAAUCCCUAUCUCUCGCAUUACAUUAUUUUCCAUUUGCCUCUCGUUUUCCUCUCCCCCCAAUUCACCCUUGCCGUUUUAUUCGCCCUCUCUCUCUCUCUCUCUCUAUCCUCCCUCUCUAUUUGCCUCUUUUAGCCCGCUUGCCUUUUUGUUUGCUCGUGUUUUAGAUUGCUUGUUUGUCGCGAUGGCUCAAGAUAAUACCAAAUUGUGUGACUUCACCAAUACCAACAAUAAUGAUUUCCUUAGCACUCCGAUUGCUCCUCUUACCGAUGCUGAAUCUUGUGAAAUUAAUACUGCUUUGUUGAAUCUUGUUAUGAAAGAUCAAUUCGCUGGCCUUCCUAGUGAAGAUGCCGCUACUCAUCUGAAUAGCUUCGUUGAUUUAUGUGAUAUGCAAAAGAAAAAAGAUGUCGAUAAUGAUGUCGUUAAAUUGAAGCUAUUUCCUUUUUCGCUUAGAGAUCGUGCUAAAGCUUGGUUUUCGUCUUUGCCUAAGAAUAGUAUUGAUUCAUGGAACAAGUGCAAAGAUGCUUUUAUCUCUAAGUAUUUUCCUCCUGCUAAGAUCAUCUCUCUUAGAAACGAUAUUAUGAACUUUAAACAACUUGAUCAUGAACAUGUUGCACAAGCUUGGGAAAGAAUGAAAUUAAUGAUAUGUAAUUGCCCUACUCAUGGUUUGAAUUUGUGGAUGAUUAUACAAAAAAUUUAUGCCGGGUUGAAUUUUGCUUCUAGAAAUCUUUUAGAUUCGGCCGCGGGAGGCACUUUUAUGGAAAUCACUUUAGGAGAUGCUACUAAACUCCUAGAUAAUAUUAUGGUUAAUUAUUCUCAAUGGCAUACUGAAAGAUCUUCUAAUAAAAAAGUGCAUGCGAUAGAAGAAAUCAAUGUUUUGAGUGGAAAGAUGGAUGAACUUAUGAAAUUAUUUGCUACUAAGAGUGUUUCUUCUGAUCCUAAUGAUAUGCCUUUGUCUACUUUGAUUGAGAAUAACAAUGAAUCUAUGGAUGUGAAUUUUGUUGGUAGGAAUAAUUUUGGUAACAACGCUUAUAGAGGGAAUUUUAAUCCUAGGCUAUAUCCUAGUAAUCCUUCUAAUAAUUAUGGGAAUUCCUACAACAACUCUUAUGGAAAUUAUAAUAAGAUGCCCUCUGAAUUUGAGAAUAGUGUUAAAGAAUUUAUGAAUUCACAAAAGAAUUUUAAUGCUUUGCUUGAGGAGAAAUUGCUUAAAGUUGAUGGUUUGGCUAGAAAUGUUGAUAGAAUUUCUCUUGAGGUUGAUUCUUUAAAGCUUAGAUCUAUUCCUCCUAAAGAUGAUAUCAAUGAGUCUCUCAAAGCCAUGAGAAUUUCCAUUGAUGAGUGCAAGGAAAGAACCACUAGGAUGCGUGCUUCCAAAGAUACCUUUAUUAAAGCCUGUUCUUCCAAUUCCUAUGAAAAUCAAGAUGAGGAUCUAAAAGUUAUUGAUGUGUCCCCUAUUAAAUCUUUAUUUUGCAACAUGAAUCUUGAUGAAACUGAAUAUGAUCUUCCUUUACCUAGAAGGCAUUCUAAAAAUUCGGAGUAUUUAGAUCUUAAUGAUGAAAUUGAUGAAAGUGGGAUUGAAAGAAAUAAAAAUCUAGAUGUUGCUAAACCCACUAUAUUGGAUUUCAAGGAAUUUAAUUAUGAAAGUUGCUCUUUAAUUGAUUGUAUUUCCUUGUUGCAAUCCGUGCUAAAUUCUCCACAUGCUUAUAGUCAAAAUAAAGCCUUUACCGAACAUAUUGUUGAUGCCUUGAUGCAAUCUUAUGAAGAAAAACUUGAGUUGAAAGUUUCUAUCCCUAGAAAACUCUAUGAUGAGUGGGAACCAACUAUUAAAAUUAAAAUUAAAGAUCAUGAGUUUUAUGCUUUGUGUGAUUUGGGUGCUAGUGUCUCUACUAUUCCCAAGACUUUGUGUGAUUUACUAGAUUUCCGUAAUUUUGAUGAUUGCUCUCUAAACUUGCAUCUUGCGGAUUCCACUAUUAAAAAACCUAUGGGAAGGAUUAAUGAUGUUCUUAUUGUUGCAAAUAGGAAUUAUGUGCCCAUAGAUUUCAUUGUUCUUGAUAUAGAUUGCAAUCCUUCUUGCCCUAUUAUUCUUGGUAGACCUUUCCUUAGAACGGUUGGUGCGAUUAUUGAUAUGAAGGAAGGGAAUAUUAGAUUUAAAUUUCCAUUUAAAAAGGGCAUGGAACACUUUCCAAGAAAGAAAAUAAAAUUACCAUAUGAAACUAUCAUGAGAGCCACUUAUGGAUUGCCUACCAAAGAUGGCAAUACCUAGAUCUAUCCUCGCUUUUAUGCCUAGCUAGGGGCGUUAAACGAUAGCGCUUGUUGGGAGGCAACCCAAUUUUUUUUAUUCCUUGCUUUUUGCUCCUGAUUAGUAAUAAAAAAAUUAUUUAGCCUCUGUUUUGGUUGUGUUUUUUGUGUUUAAUUAGUGUUUGUGCCAAGUAGAACCGUUGGGAAGACUUGGGGAAAGUCUUGUUGAACUUGCUGGAAAAAAAACAGAAACUUUAGCGCUCACGAGAACUGCUGUCAUUUUUAUUUGGAGAGUGAUAUUUAGUCAAUUAUUUUUUAAGAUGAUUAAUAGAUAAAUUUCUCACGUCCAUCAGUUUAUUUUAGAAUUUUUGGGGUUCCAGAUCUUGCGCUAGCUACAGAUUACUACAGAUUGUUCUGUUUUUGACAGAUUCUGUUUUUCGUGUGUUGUUUGCUUAUUUUGAUGAAUCUAUGGAUAGUAAAAUAGUUUAUAAUACAUAGAGAAGUUGGAAUAAAGUAGGUUUAGCACCAAUAUAAAUAAAGAAUGAGUUCAUUAUAGUACCUUGAAGUGGUCUUUUGUUUUCUUUCGCUAACGGAACUCACGAGUUUUCUAUUUUGAGUUUUGUGUUGUGAAGUUUUCAAGUUUUGGAUGAAUUCUUUUGAUGGAUCAGGGAACAAGGAGUGGCAAGAGCCUAAGCUUGGGGAUGCCCUUGGCACCCCCAAGAUAAUCCAAGUACACCAAAAAGUCAAAGCUUGGGGAUGCCCCGGAAGGUAUCCCCUCUUUCGUCCACUUCCAUCGGUAAUUUACUUGGAGCUAUAUUUUUAUUCACCAACAUGAUAUGUGUUUUGCUUGGAGCGUCUUGUAUUAUUUGUGUCUUUGUGUCUUAGUAUGCCACAAUCAUCCUUGCUGUACACACCUUUUGAGAGAGCCAUACAUGAAUUAAAAUUUGAUAGAAUACUCUAUGUGCUUCACUUAUAUCUUUUGAGCUAAGUAGUUUUGCUCUAUGUGCUUCACUUAUAUCUUUUGAGUGUUAUAAUUUUGCUCUAUGUGCUUCACUUAGAUCUUUUAGAGCACGGUGGUGGAUUUGUUUUAAAGAAACUAUUGAUCUCUCAUGCUUCACUCAAAUUAUUUUGAGAGUCUCUUAAUAGCAUGGUAAUUUGCUUAAUAAUAAUAUGCUUGGUGUUCAAGAUUUGUGAAACUUUCUUUUGAGUGUGUUGAAUACUAAGAAAAGAUUGAAGCAUGAUAAUUGUUUUGAGAUAUGGAGGUGAUAAUAUUAAAGUCAUGCUAGUUGAGUAGUUGUGAAUUUAAAUAAUACUUGUGUUAAAGUUUGUGAUUCCCGUAGCAUGCACGUAUGGUGAACCGUUAUGUGAUGAAGUCGGAGCAUGAUUUAUUUAUUGAUUGUCUUCCUUAUGAGUGGCGGUCGGGGACGAGCGAUGGUCUUUUCCUACCAAUCUAUCCUCCUAGGAGCAUGCGCGUAAUACUUUGCUUUGAUAACUUCUAGAUUUUUGCAAUAAGUAUAUGAGUUCUUUAUGACUAAUGUUGAGUCCAUGGAUCAUACGCACUCUCAACCUUCCACCUUUGCUAGCCUCUCUAAUACCACGCACCUUUCGCCGGUAUCAUACACCUAUCAUAUACCUUCCUCAAAACAGCCACCAUACCUACCUAUUAUGGCAUUUCCAUAGUCAUUCCGAGAUAUAUUGCCAUGCAACUUUCGACCAUCUAGUUCAUCAUGACACACUCCAUCAUUGUCAUAUUGCAUAUCCCGGUACACCGCCAGAUGCAUUCACAUAGAGUCAUAUUUUGUUCUAAGUAUCGAGUUGUAAUUGUUGAGUUGUAAGAAAAAUAAAAGUGUGAUGAUCAUCAUUAUUAGAGCAUUGUCCCAAGGGAGGAAAGAAUGAUGGAGACUAUGAUUCCCCCAUAAGUCGGGAUGAGACUCCGGACGAAAAAUAAAAAAAGAGGCCUAAGAAGCCCAAAUAAAAAGAGGCCAUAAAAAAAGAAAUUGCCCAAAUAAAAAAAUGAGAGAAAAAGAGAGAAGGGACGAUGUUACUAUCCUUUUACCACACUUGUGCUUCAAAGUAGCACCAUGACUUUCAUAGUAGAGAGUCUCUCAUGUUAUCACUUUCAUAUACUAGUGGGAAUUUUACAUUAUAGAACUUGGCUUGUAUAUUCCAAUGAUGGGCUUCCUCAAAUUGCCCUAGGUCUUCAUGAUCAAGCAAGUUGGAUGCACACCCACUUAGUUUCUUUUUGAGCUUUCAUAUACUUAUAGCUCUAGUGCAUCCGUUGCAUGGCAAUCCCUACUCACUCACAUUGAUAUCUAUUGAUGGGCAUCUCCAUAGCCCGUUGAUACGCCUAGUUGAUGUGAGACUAUCUUCUCCUUUUUUUUCUUCUCCACAACCACCAUUCUAUUCCACCUAUAGUGCUAUAUCCAUGGCUCACGCUCAUGUAUUGUGUGAAGAUUGAAAAAGUUUUGAAAAAGUUAGAGUAUGAAACAAUUGCUUGGCUUGUCAUCGGGGGUGUGCAUGAUUUAAAUACUUUGUGUGGUGAAGAUAGAGCAUAGCCAGACUAUAUGAUUUUGUAGGGAUAACUUUCUUUGGCCAUGUUAUUUUGAGAAGACAUAAUUGCUUUAUUAAUAUGCUUGAAGUAUUAUUAUUUUUAUGUCAAUAUAAACUUUUGUCUUGAAUCUUUCUAAUCUGAAUAUUCAUACCACAAUUAAGAAGAUUUGCAUUGAAAUUAUGCCAAGUAGCACUCCGCAUCAAAAGUUCUCUUUUUAUCAUUUAACUACUCGAGGACGAGCAGGAAUUAAGCUUGGGGAUGCCUGAUACGUCUCCAACGUAUCUAUAAUUUUUGAUUGCUCCAUGCUAUAUUAUCUUCUGUUUUGGACUAUAUUGGGCUUUACUUUCCACUUUUAUAUUAUUUUUGGGACUAACCUAUUAACCGGAGGCCCAGUCCAGAAUUGCUGUUUUUUGCCUAUUUCAGUGUUUUGAAGAAACGGAAUAUCAAACGGAGUCCAAACGGAAUAAAAUCUUCGGGAACGUGAUUUUCUCACCGAACGUGAUCCAGGAGACUUGGACCCUGCUCCAAGGAACAAAAGAGGCGGUCCCGAGGGUGGGGGCGCCCCCCCCCCUAGGGCGCGCCCCCUGCCUCAUGGGCCCCUCGGUGCUCCUCCGGCGUACUUCUUCCUCCUAUAUAUACACACGUACCCCCAAACGAUCAAAACAGGAGCCAAAAACCUAAUUCCACCACCGCAACUUUCUGUAUCCAUGAGAUCCCAUCUUGGGGCCUGUUCCGGAGCUCCGCCGGAAGAGGGCCGUCGUCACGGAGGGCUUCUACAUCAUCCUAGCCUCUCCGAUGAAGUGUGAGUAGUUUACCUCAGACCUUCGGGUCCAUAGUUAGUAGCUAGAUGGCUUCUUCUCUCUCUUUGAAUCUCAAUACAAAGUUCUCCCCUCUCUUGUGGAGAUCUAUUCGAUGUAAUCUUCUUUUUGCGGUGUGUUUGUUGAGACCGAUGAAUUGUGGGUUUAUGAUCAAGUCUAUCUAUGAAUAAUAUUUGAAUCUUCUCUGAAUUCUUUUAUGUAUGGUUGGUAUCUUUGCAAGUCUCUUCGAAUUAUCCGUUUGGUUUGGCCAACUAGAUUGGUAGUUCUUGCCAUGGGAGAAGUGCUUAGCUUUGGGUUCGAUCUUGCGGUGUCCUUACCCAGUGACAGAAAGGGCAGCAAGGCACGUAUUGUAUCGUUGCCAUCGAGGAUAACAAGAUGGGGUUUAUUUCAUAUUGCAUGAAUUUAUCUCUCUACAUCAUGUCAUCUUGCUUAAGGCGUUACUCUGUUUUUAACUUAAUACUCUAGAUGCAUGCUGGAUAGCGGUCGAUGAGUGGAGUAAUAGUAGUAGAUGCAGAAUCGUUUCGAUCUACUUGUCACGGACGUGAUGCCUAUAUACAUGAUCAUGCCUAGAUAUUCUCUCAUAACUAUGCUCAAUUCUGUCAAUUGCUCAACAGUAAUUUGUUCACCUACCGUAGAAUACUUAUGCUCUUGAGAGAAACCACUAGUGAAACCUAUGGCCCCCGGGUCUAUUCUCAUCAUAUCAAUCUCCAUCACUUUAAUCUUGCUUUGCUUUUACUUUUUACUUUGCAUCUUUAUACCAAAAAUACCCAAAAUAUUAUAUCUAUCAGAUCUCACUCUCGUAAGUGACCGUGAAGGGAUUGACAACCCCUAAUCGCGUUGGUUGCGAGUAGCUAUCGCUUUGUGCAGGUACGAGAGACUUGAGCGUGGCCUCCUACUGGAUUGAUACCUUGGUUCUCAAAAACUGAGGGAAAUACUUACGCUACUCUGCUGCAUCAUCCUUUCCUCUUCGGGGAAAACCAACACAAGCUCAAGACGUAGCAAUAGGUUUGAUUAUUUUGUUUGGCACUUCUUGCCUGCUGUUAAUACUACUGGGGGAUCCUAUUGGGUUUUAGAAGAUUAUCUUUGAGGUUAUUGGUUUUUGUUAACCAAGGAUUUUCCAUUGUGGCUACUGUUAACCAGAAGUGCAGUCUGAUGGUUUUGUUUGGCAAAUGGUGUUGGUAUAUGGUUCUGCAUACCUUGAAUUUAAAAUGGAGUUUAUUGCUGAACUACAUGAUACUAUGACUAGUGCAUCUUAUCCUAUCUUGAUCUGUGGGGACUUUAACUUGAUUAGGAAUGAAGCUGAGAAGAGUAGUGGUCAGAUUAAUCAUCAGACUGCACUUCUCUUCAAUGACUGGAUCAACAGAUGGGCCCUGAUGGAGAUUUCUAUCUCUAACAGAGUAUUUACCUGGUCUAACAACCAGAGUUCCCCUAUCUUUGUUGUUCUUGACAGAGUGUUCACUUCUAUGGACUGGGAUGCCCACUUCCAUUUCUAUCUCUAACAGAGUAUUUACCUGGUCUAACAACCAGAGUUCCCCUAUCUUUGUUGUUCUUAACAGAGUGUUCACUUCUGUGGACUCAGAUGCCCAUUUCCCUUUUUCAACUUUGUUAGCACUCCCCAGGGUGGGGAGUGACCACACUCCUUUGGUCCUGGAUGAAGGAAAUAUGCCCUAGAGGCAAUAAUAAAGUUGUCAUUUAUAUUUCCUUAUAUCAUGAUAAAUGUUUAUUAUUCAUGCUAGAAUUGUAUUAACCGGAAACUUAGUACAUGUGUGAAUACAUAGACAAACAAUGUGCAAAUGGUGUUGGUAUAUGGUUCUGCAUACCUUGAAUUUAAAAUGGAGUUCAUUGCUGAACUACAUGAUACUAUGACUAGUGCAUCUUAUCCUAUCUUGAUCUGUGGGGACUUUAACUUGAUUAGGAAUGAAGCUGAGAAGAGUAGUGGUCAGAUUAAUCAUCAGACUGCACUUCUCUUCAAUGACUGGAUCAACAGAUGGGCCCUGAUGGAGAUUUCUAUCUCUAACAGAGUAUUUACCCGGUCUAACAACCAGAGUUCCCCUAUCUUUGUUGUUCUUGACAGAGUGUUCACUUCUGUGGACUGGGAUGCCCACUUCCAUUUCUAUCUCUAACAGAGUAUUUACCUGGUCUAACAACCAGAGUUCCCCUAUAUUUGUUGUUCUUGACAGAGUGUUCACUUCUGUGGACUGGGAUGCCCAUUUCCCUUUUUCAACUUUGUCAGCACUCCCCAGGGUGGGGACUGACCACACUCCUUUGGUCCUGGAUGAAGGAAAUAUGCCCUAGAGGCAAUAAUAAAGUUGUUAUUUAUAUUUCCUUAUAUCAUGAUAAAUGUUUAUUAUUCAUGCUAGAAUUGUAUUAACCGGAAACUUAGUACAUGUGUGAAUACAUAGACAAACAAAGUGUCACUAGUAUGCCUCUACUUGACUAGCUCGUUGAAUCAAAGAUGGUUAAGUUUCCUAACCAUGGACAUGAGUUGUCAUUUGAUUAAUGGGGUCACAUCAUUAGAGAAUGAUGUGAUUGACUUGACCCAUUCCGUUAGCUUAGCAUUUGAUCGUUUAGUAUAUUGGUAUUGCUUUCUUCAUGACUUAUACAUGUUCCUAUGACUAUGAGAUUAUGCAAUUCCCAAAUAUCGGAGGAACACUUUGUAUGCUACCAAACGUCACAACGUAACUGGGUGAUUAUAAAGGUGCUCUACAGGUGUCUCCAAUGGUACUUGUUGAGUUGGCAUAGAUCGAGAUUAGGAUUUGUCACUCCGAUUGUCGGAGAGGUAUCUCUGGCCCCUCUCGGUAAUGCACAACACUAUAAGCCUUGCAAGCAUUGCAACUAAUGAGUUAGUUGCAGGAUGAUGUAUUACGGAACGAGUAAAGAGACUUGCCGGCAAUGAGAUUGAACUAGGUAUUGAGAUACCGACGAUCGAAUCUCGGGCAAGUAACAUACCGAUGACAAAGGGAACAACGUAUUUUGUUAUGCGGUUUUGACCGAUAAAGAUCUUCGUAGAAUAUGCAGGAACCAAUAUGAGCAUCCAGGUUCCGCUAUUUGUUAUUGACCGGAGAUGAGUCUCGGUCAUGUCUACAUAGUUCUCAAACCCAUAGGGUCCGCACGCUUAACGUUCGGUGACGAUCGAUAUUAUGAGUUUAUGUGUUUUGAUGUACCGAAGGUAGUUCGGAGUCCCAAAUGUGAUCACGGACAUGACGAUGAGUCUCGAAAUGGUCGAGACAUAAAUAUUGAUAUAUUGGAUGGCUAUACUCGGACACCAGAAGGGUUUCAGGUGAUCUCGGAGAAAACUGGAGUGCUGGAGGGGUUACCGGAACCCCCCGGGGACUAAUGGGCCUUGAUGGGCCCUAGUGGAGAGAGAGGGGCAGGCCGCGCACCCCCUCCCCUUGAGUCCGAAUAGGACAAGGAAGGGGGGCCUUGCCUUUCCCCUCUCCCACUCCUUCCUUCCCCCUCCUAGUGGGACUAGGAAAGGGGAGUCCUACUCCCACUAGGAGAAGGAGUCCUCCUCUUGGCGCGCCCUCCUAGGGCCGGCCGGCCUCCCCCCUUGCCCCUUUAUAUACGGGGGCAGGGGCACCCCAUGGACACAUAAGUUGAUCAUUGAUCUUUUAGCCGUGUGCGGUGCCCCCUCCACCAUAAUCCACCUCGGCCAUAUCGUAGCGGUGCUUAGGUGAAGCCCUGCGUCGGUAGCUUCAUCAACACCGUCAUCACGCCGUUGUGCUGAUGGAACUCUCCCUCGAAGCUCUACUGGAUCAUGAGUUCGUGGGACGUCACCGAGCUGAACGUGUGCAGAUUGCAGAGGUGUCGUACGUUCGGUACUAGGAUCGGUCGAUCAUGAAGACGUACGGCUACAUCAACCGCGUUGUCACAACGCUUAUGCUUACGGUCUACGAGGGUACGUGGACGACACUCUCCCCUCUCGUUGGUAUGCAUCACCAUGAUCUUGCGUGUGCGUAGGAAUUUUUUUUGAAAUUACUAUGUUCCCCAACACUGGACACUGGAGCUGGAGCCCCAUCUAACCCUAAACCAUUUAGGUUUGAAAAAUGGUGGCUAUCCCAACCUGGGUUCCACCAAAUGGUUACAGAAGCUUGGGAUUAUGUGUCCUCUUCUAACUCUUCAGUUGAUAACUGGAUGACUAAAACUAGGGUUCUUAGGAAGAAACCAAAAGGUUGAAGUAUUAACAGAGAAGCAGCUUUGAAAAAGAAAAAAGGCACUCCUUGUGGAGUUUGAUAACCUUGAUGUCCUAUCUGAAUCUUAACAGCUCUCUGCUACUAAUUUUGAUAGGAUGAAGAAUAUUAAAAAGGAACUUGAUGAGAUUUGGAAAAAAAGAGGAAACUGCCUUACGACAGAGAUCUAGGGAUAGGAAAAUUUUGGAGGGAGAUAGGAAUAAUGCUUACUUCCAGGCCCUUGCCAAUCAUAGACAUAGAAAGAAUCAUCUUACUGAGUUAAAUGGCCCCGAUGGGGUGGUUACUUCUACCAAGGAUAUGCUUGAGGUAGCUACUUCCUUCUAUAAGGAACUAUUUGCUUUUGAACCUAAACCUGACAUCCACUUGGGUGCUGAUUUUUGGUCCAUUGAGUAGAUGGUUAGUGAUGAGGAGAGAUAACUUCUAGAGAUACCUUUUUCUGAAGAGGAAAUUAAGCAAGCUAUUAUGAGUUCUUAUUCUAGUGGUGCUCCGGGCCCUGAUGGCCUCCCCUUUUUGUUUUACCAAACCUUCUGGGAGUUGAUCAAAAAGGAUUUUAUGUGGAUGGUUAAAGAUUGUGAGAAUGGUGAUUUAGACAUGUAUAAAUUGAAUUAUGCCAUUAUUACCCUCAUACCUAAAGUGCCUCUGGCUAGAGACAUGAAUUUUUUUAGACCUAUCGGUUUGAGUAAUUGUGUUGUCAAGAUUUUCUCUAAAGCUAUGACCAGUAGGGUGUCUCCUUUGUGUGACAAGCUUAUUUCUAAUAAUCAGACUACCUUUAUUAAAGGGGGGGUUCAUUUUAGAAAGUGUGGUUAUGGCCCAUGAGGUUAUUCAUGAUAUACACAUGUCUGGCUCUAGUGGAUUGAUUCUUAAACUUGAUUAUGAGAAAGCCUAUGAUAGAGUGAGUUGGGAUUUCUUGAAGGAAAUGCUUCUUUCUAGAGGUUUUGACAGUAAAUGGGUUGGUUGGGUUAUGUCCACUAUCCACCAGGGGACUUUCCAGGUUAGAAUUAAUGACAUAAAUGGCCCCCACUUUGCUGGGGGGGAGGCUUGAAGCAAGGUGAUCCUCACUCACCUCUGUUGUUUAAUUUGGUGGCUGGUGUCUUUUCUAAGAUGCUCCAGAAAGCUGUCAAUAGAAACUUGAUUUGUGGACUGUUGCCCCAUGCCAUUCCUCGAGGGUUGGUCAGCCUACAAUAUGUUGAUGACACUAUUCUUUUCCUAGAUAAUUCGCUAGCUUGUGCUAAAAAUUUGAAAUGGAUUCUAGCUUGCUUUGAAAAACUUUCUGGUUUGAAGAUUAAUUUUCACAAGAGUGAUUUGCAUACUAUUAAUGUUUCUGAUCAAAAAGACUUUGCUCAAGUUUUCUGUUGUCAACUUGGGGAUUUUCCCUUUAAAUAUUUAGGGGUGCCUUUGCAUUUUAAAAAACUUAGAAGGAAAGAUCUUCAAUGCAUUAUAGACAGGAGUAUUAAGAAUAUAGCUCGUUGGCUAGGGAGAUUUCUCUCCUACAGGGGCAAAUUGAUCCUUCUCACUACUUUUAUUGCCAGUAUUCCUGCCUACUUAAUGUCUAUUGUUAAAUUUCCCAAAUGGGCUAUUGAUAUGAUUACAUCUCAAAUGUCUCACUUCUUUUGGGGUAAUGUGGGUGAAAACCACAAAUACCAUCUUGCUAGCUGGGGGAUGAUUUCCAGGAAGAAAGAAUUUGGUGGUAUGGGGUUCCCAACCUUAGAGAGUUCAAUAUGGCCCUUUUGGCUUCUUGGGGGAAAAGAUUUUAUGAUGGUAGAGAUGGUGAUUGGAAAAAGAUUAUGGCCUACAAAUAUAAUACUAACAAUCCCAACUUCUUCAACACUAGGACUAAUUUGGGGUCCCCAUUCAUGAAAAGUCUAUCCUGGGCACUUGCAGCAUCUAAAAACUUUUAUAGGUGGAUCCCUAGAGAUGGGAAGAGUAUUGCCUUCUGGCAUGACAUUUGGAUUGGGGACUGCUCCCUAAAAACUGCAUUUUGGGACUUGUUUGACAUUUGUCAACAGCAAGAGGCCACUCUUGCGCAGGUCUAGGUGGGAGGUGAACUCCAGCUCACUUUUAGGAGAUGUGUGGGUGAAGGGGCUCUGGUUAGAUGGGAUGAGCUAACUAAUUUAGUUAAACAGGUUAUGAUGUCUGACUCCCCAGACCAACCUGUGUGGAUGCUGGAUUCUUCCAGCAAGUAUUCUGUCAAGUCUUUUUACAAAAUGAUCAACUUUGAAGGAUACAUGCUGAGAUUAAAGAUGAUAUAUGGAAAAUUAAGAUCCCUCCCAAUAUACAUGUUUUCCCGUGGUUGAUUUACUACAACAAAUCUGUAGGUUUCAGGGGGGUACGAUCCACCGCGUUCCUGUGCUUUACAUGAAAUGGAAAGAUCAGAACGAACAAGCAGAGCAACUUGAUAGCUUGACCAGGGAUAAUCUGGCAAGCGUAGACAUGUAGAGAAUAAGACAUGUGUCUUUUGUAAUGAACCAGAAACAAUUCAGCAUCUCUUUUUUGAUUGUAUUGUUGCUAGACAAGUGUGGGAGCUGAUGGCUGAAAGUUUUAGCAUUAAUAUACCUGAUUCUUUUGCUAUGUUAUCUUCCUUUUGGAAGAAAAGGAAACAUUGUGAAGCUCUAAACAUAACUACUGCUAUUGCCUUGUGGAGCUUAUGGCGUUUACGAAAUAACUUUGUUUUCCAGAGGCGAAGAUGGCGAAGUAUAUGAUGUGCUUUGGAUCUGUUGGACGCAACAAUUAGGCAAUAUAAAAUCCUAUGUUCAGAGGCUUAGGGUGCGUAUAGGGGAAUUGCUUAGGAUGCUAAACUCUAGAGCAUGGCUGGCUUUGUAUCUCCCCUAGAUCCUCUUAAAAACUCUGUUGUAAUAGGGUAGUUUCUUAAAAUACUUGUGGUCCCCGUCUGUGGCAGUAGUGCCGUCGAGCGUUGUUAAACAGUCUUUGCUUUGGUUUUGCCUGGCUUUAAUAAAAGUUGAGGCGGGGGAAAGCUCUUUCAGUUCAAAAAAUAAACACUAUAAUUUGAGUACAACCCGAUUAUACUCAAAUUCAGUUAUUUCCUGCUCCUUGUAGCCCACCAUACAAAUGGAACAGGUCAAUUUAUUUUCUUCAAAACCGUUGGCUAUUUAUUGCAUGCGGCACAAAUAACAAUUCUAUUCCUAAAUAUAAGUGUAUCACUAUUUCAACUACAUUCAUCAUGAAAUAUACUUUGAUAUUUUAUAUAUUUUGUAUUUUAAAUCUCUAUAUAUUUUGCUAUGAAGUUGGUCACGCACAGACACCUUAUAUUUAGGAAGUUUUGGGGGACAAGUAAUUCCAGGGAGAACAAGACAAGUAUAACAAACAGGCAACCGAAAGAAAAACACAAUCACAGAAGGGACUAAUGGCAUUGAUUUCGUGGUGUAUUUCAAAACAAAAGGCGACCAAAGGAAAAACACAAUCAUCAGAAACAAUGACAAAGCUAAUAUGCGGUGUAAAUUAAAACAGAGGUAUCGGCAGUCGGCCAAGUGUGGUACUGACAACUAUGACAGAGCACAAGAAUGCAAUAGUAACAUGCAUUACCCUAUUGCAAAGUGAAAUGAGCAUUCCCGGUAAUAGAUAAGACAUAUAAUGACAGAACAGAACGACACAUUCAACAUCUCCAAAUUUGUCUGAACAGGAAUUGGUUUCAUAGAAGACAAGCAUCAGGCAAGUCCUUGCCGCUACAUCAAAAUGUUCUUUCAUCACAAACUUAAAGCAUAGCUAAAACAGUUCUAGAUAUCUUGUAAAACACAUUCAUUCCAAAAUCUCCAGCCAAAAGCACGAGACCCUCAGAUGCACAUCCAUCUUAACGGUUA